CAGGGUAUCAAAUCGUAGGGAUGAGAACCGUAAAAGGUUCGAGCCGAGCGAAGCGAGACAGCAACGCGGCAGCGUUGACCCGAAGGGCGAGUCCACAGGACGAGUCAUCCCGCACGACCCACCA
This 124-nucleotide small RNA is filed under the name Yersinia enterocolitica. RNAcentral describes it as "RtT sRNA". It matches the Rfam family "RtT RNA". From Rfam's summary of the family: This family represents a bacterial cis-regulatory element known as RtT RNA. The exact function of RtT is unknown although it is thought that it may be involved in changing the cellular response in relation to amino acid starvation. The record is from RNAcentral. RNAcentral also lists the same sequence under 1 other name. Lineage: Bacteria; Pseudomonadati; Pseudomonadota; Gammaproteobacteria; Enterobacterales; Yersiniaceae.